CCCUGUUUGAAAGUAUGUUCCAGAAUAAUAACACCUCACCUGACAUUACAAAUCCUCAGUUCUCCUCCCAAAAAUGUCUCAUUUCAUUCUUUCUUCCUUCCGAAAAUACUGUACUUCUCAUCUUUUGUGACAACUGAUGCCUCCUCUCCUUCAGUGUGCCAUUCACAUUAAGGCCUUGAUCACACCGUCAGUGUUUUCUGCGCAAAAUGUUACGCAGCGUCAUCUGGAUGUGUGCAACAACAGUUUGACGCAUACGUCAAUCAGGCAAACGUAGCGUUCCGUUGGAAAUGAAUAUUUUUCUGGUGUACCAAAAUGCAAUAUAGCUGUCAGUACGAUCAAGGUGUUAUUCAGUCAGGCCAGAACACUGAGGUAUAAUAAGAACUGCCAGAGUCCAUCGAAGAACAGGAAGUUACCAAACCACAGAAGAAGAUAAAAUGUGGUUUUCGACGAUGGGUUAAUAGGAUAGCUAUCAACUUGUAAACAAUUACCCAUUCCUUUAGGUGUAGGUCGCUAGCUACAGUAUAGCCUAAUGACAUCAUCAAGUUUGCUGACAACACGACAGUAGUAGGCCCGAUUACCAUCAAUGACGAAAGGACCUACAGGGAGGAGGUAGGCACUCUGACGGCGUCAUGUCAGGUAAAUAACCUCUCCCUCAACGUCAACCAAAACAAAGGAGCUGAUUGUGGACUUUAGGAGGAACCAGGCUGGGCAAUCCCCCCUCAGGAGGCUGAAGAAAUUUGGCCUGUCCCCUAGGGCCCUUAGGGUUCUAUAGGAGCACCAUAGAGAGCAUACUGUCGGACUGCAUCACAGCCUGGUAGGGCAACUCCACCACCGCUGACCACAAGGCUCUACAGAGGGUGGUGCACCCAAAGGUGCGUUCGGCUGAGCAUACCACUCUCUGUAAAACUUCCUGCCCUCCAGGACUCCUACAACACCAGACGUCGCAGGAAGGCCAAGGAGAUCAUCAAGGACCUCAGCCACCCAAGCCACGGCCUGUUCUCCCCGCUUCCAUCACUCAGACGCAGGCAGUAUAGAAGCAUCUGUAACGGCAUUCAGAGGUGGAAGAAGGAGAGGACCAAAGCGCAGCGUGGUUAGUGUUCAUCUUAUUUAAUAAUAAUCCAAACCGAACACUUCAAAUUACAAAACAACAAAGUGAAAACCGAAACAGUUCUGUCUGGUGCAGACACACAAAGACUGAAAAUAACUACCCACAAAACACAAAAGGAAAACAGGCUACCUAAAUAUGGUUCUCAAUCAGGGACAACGAUUGACAGCUACCUCUGAUUGAGAACCAUAUCAGGCCAAA
Oncorhynchus tshawytscha (Chinook salmon) is the source of this 1306-nucleotide long non-coding RNA. Lineage: Eukaryota; Metazoa; Chordata; Actinopteri; Salmoniformes; Salmonidae. The record is from Ensembl.